AUAACCUUGUUUCCUGUGAUGCGCUCUUCAAUUCCUCACUUUCUGUGAAGCAACGAUGUCUCUGGCUUUGGGAUCCUUACUGGUUUGAGAGGGGAAGACUAAGAGGAGGCUUUUAAAGCAGUUCUUGCUGUUUCUUUCUUAAAUAUAAUUAGAUGCGCCUCAUUUCCUCACACUGAAGGACUUUUGUACUUUUUCGAGCUGUGUUUUCUGAGAUCUUCCGUGGGCGACGGCUCGUUGUUUCCACUUGCAGUUGAUUGCAUUAGCAGGUCAGGACCCCUGUUCUCUAUAAAACCCAGAUGAAGAACUGUAUCCACGAAACUCAGAGGCAGUCCCUGGAGAGCAUCCCGUGUGGCUACUGUUGUGAAGCCGACCACAACCGCCCAGGAAACUCACCAGGCUCCAACACCCAGGUUUGGUCAAAGUCACAAGAUAGCCACGGAUAUACCCAGCCAUUCCCAUGAAGGGAACGCUGUAGAAGUGGGGGCGCAGGGCAGUUGCAAGCCUGUAUGGCAGAGAAGGGAAGGAAGAAAAUGCUCUCCCAUAAACCCCUUUGGACCUUCAAUCCUUUAAGAUUUAGGGAAUGGUGUUGGGGUGGAACCAUGUAAAAUAAUUAAAACAUUCGGUCCCUGUU
Non-coding RNA from Macaca mulatta (Rhesus monkey), 631 nucleotides. The record is from RefSeq and is a predicted model, not a curated record. NCBI's taxonomy places the organism in Eukaryota, Metazoa, Chordata, Mammalia, Primates, Cercopithecidae.